This 615-nucleotide ribosomal RNA is filed under the name Cadophora sp. JCM 28585. RNAcentral describes it as "eukaryotic LSU rRNA". It matches the Rfam family "Eukaryotic large subunit ribosomal RNA", at positions 38 to 667 of the family's 3401-position model. The record is from RNAcentral. Lineage: Eukaryota; Fungi; Ascomycota; Leotiomycetes; Helotiales; Ploettnerulaceae.
GCAUAUCAAUAAGCGGAGGAAAAGAAACCAACAGGGAUUACCUCAGUAACGGCGAGUGAAGCGGUAACAGCUCAAAUUUGAAAGCUAGCUCUUUUAGGGUUCGCAUUGUAAUUUGUAGAAGAUGCUUCGGGUGUGGCCCCGGUCUAAGUUCCUUGGAACAGGACGUCAUAGAGGGUGAGAAUCCCGUAUGUGACUGGGUGCUUUCGCUCAUGUGAAGCUCUUUCGACGAGUCGAGUUGUUUGGGAAUGCAGCUCAAAAUGGGUGGUAAAUUUCAUCUAAAGCUAAAUAUUGGCCAGAGACCGAUAGCGCACAAGUAGAGUGAUCGAAAGAUGAAAAGCACUUUGGAAAGAGAGUUAAACAGUACGUGAAAUUGUUGAAAGGGAAGCGCUUGCAACCAGACUUGCGCGCUGAUGAUCAUCCGGGCUUCUGCCCGGUGCACUCGUCUGCGCUCAGGCCAGCAUCGGUUUCGGUGGUGGGAUAAAGGCCUUGGGAAUGUAGCUCCUCUCGGGGAGUGUUAUAGCCCUCGGUGCAAUGCCGCCUACCGGGACCGAGGACCGCGCUUCGGCUAGGAUGCUGGCGUAAUGGUUGUAAGCGACCCGUCUUGAAACACGGACC